RNAcentral lists this ribosomal RNA (510 nucleotides) under uncultured bacterium. Its description in RNAcentral is "bacterial SSU rRNA". It matches the Rfam family "Bacterial small subunit ribosomal RNA", at positions 28 to 533 of the family's 1533-position model. The record is from RNAcentral.
GACGAACGCUGGCGGCGUGCUUAACACAUGCAAGUCGAACGAGAUUUCGUCUGUUUCGAUCUUCGGAAAGGGACGGACGGAUGAAAGUGGCGAACGGGCGAGUAACGCGUGGGUAAUCUGCCCCUCACAGGGGGACAACAUCGGGAAACCGGUGCUAAUACCGCAUAAACCGGCAGUGCCGCAUGGCACAACCGGCAAAGGACGAAAGUCCGGUGGGGGAUGAACCCGCGUCCAAUUAGCUAGUUGGUGAGGUAACGGCUCACCAAGGCGACGAUUGGUAGCCGGGCUGAGAGGCCGAUCGGCCGCAUUGGGACUGAGACACGGCCCAGACUCCUACGGGAGGCAGCAGUAGGGAAUUUUCCACAAUGGACGAAAGUCUGAUGGAGCAACGCCGCGUGCAGGAUGAAUGCCUUCGGGUUGUAAACUGCUUUUAUCUGUGACGAUAAUGACGGUAGCAGAUGAAUAAGGAUCGGCUAACUCCGUGCCAGCAGCCGCGGUAAAACGUAGCGU